UGUCUGGCUGUUUUUCAGAGCAACUUUCUUUUGUAAGGCUGAAUUUCAGAGCAAGUUUCUUCUGUACAUCACGUGUUUUAUUUUACAUUAUAUUUGUAAAUGUUUUGGCGUCAAAUAAAGAUGUAUAUAAAAAACUGAAAACAAAAUACAAAUAAUACUAGGAUGAAGUUAAUAAAUAUGGUGGCAUACCAGUGUCAAUGUCAUUAGCCACUACAUGAGCAGCACCACAGAGCUGAGCAGCGAUGGAGGAAGCUCCACAUCCGCUCCCCAGAUCCAGCACCGUCCGACCCCGACAGACCUCCGGGUGAUCCAGGACGAACCUUCAGGGGAUUCUCAGAGAUGAUCCAUCCAGUGAGACCAGUUUCUACCUGCUGAUCUUGGAUUUCUGAGGCUCUUGUUACGUCAGUAAGCCUGAAGACAUCAGAACUUAUCUGCCUCCGAAAAGAAGACCUUCUGCACGCUGUUCACUGGGACUAAACCUUCCUGUGCAGCUCCUUUUUGACACCUGCAUUGACUGAACUCCAGCUGACUAAACAACAGCCACCAAAACGUCCAUCGAACCAAACCGGAGGUAACGAUUAAGUAUUUUUGUGUAUCUUGUGUCGAUCUUGAAGUUU
RNA transcript from Amphiprion ocellaris (clown anemonefish), 617 nucleotides. RefSeq lists it as uncharacterized. The record is from RefSeq and is a predicted model, not a curated record. The transcript has 3 exons. NCBI's taxonomy places the organism in Eukaryota, Metazoa, Chordata, Actinopteri, Pomacentridae.